Molecule: ribosomal RNA, 331 nt
Filed under: uncultured bacterium
Lineage: Bacteria
Description: bacterial SSU rRNA
Rfam family: Bacterial small subunit ribosomal RNA
Source: RNAcentral
ACUCCUACGGGAGGCAGCAGUGGGAAUAUUGGACAAUGGGGGAAACCCGUAGCAUCCAGCCAUGCCGCGUGUGUGAAGAAGGCCUUCGGGUUGUAAAGCACUUUCAGUGGGGAGGAAAGGUUGUUGGUUAAUACCUAACAGCUGUGACGUUACCCACAGAAGAAGCACCGGCUAACUCCGUGCCAGCAGCCGCGGUAAUACGGAGGGUGCAAGCGUUAAUCGGAAUUACUGGGCGUAAAGCGUGCGCAGGCGGUCUGUUAAGCGAGAUGUGAAAGCCCCGGGCUGCAACCAUGGGAGCAUGCAUUUCGAACUUGGCAGACUGAGAGUCUUG